GUGAAAAUUAUCCAUUUUUUUUAGACUACAGACUACUUUUCACUAAAAAAUCGUGUAUAGCAGUAUUAGUGUCACAAAUUGGAAGAGCAUGUUUGGUGUCAACCUCUCCCUUUUCCUCACCGUUGAGGCAGUUGGACCAUUCUCGGGUCGCUCAAAUUUGGGCAGACUCAUCGAUGGGAUGAGAUCAGAGGGGAAAAGCCUUGGCACGUCUGAGUUCCGGCUGCCCGUCUGAGCUUCUCUGUAGCCGCUUGCAGCCCCAGUAGCUUUCUCCAUGUCUGGUGCUCCCCAACAUCUCCGACAACCAACUGUUGCCAGACAACUGUUUGUGGUUUUGUCCAAGUGGGAAACAAAAAUAAAAACUUCUCAUUGUUUGAUGCUUGAGAUGUUGUUUUCAUCUGUGUCAGAUUUUAAAUUGUGUUGAGAUCAUUAUGCCACUUGAGAGACUUGAUAGAUUUGCAGCAUUCAAAAACCUAGGUGUACCCACUCUUUGCAGCAGAUGGUGUAGCUGUUGUUGUGCAAAACAUCUCCACCAACCCUCAAAGUUAGUGGCCUUGCUCUAUUCCAUGUUCGAGUGAUGCCUUGUUCUCUUCCUUUUCAAUUGGAUCGUCAUUUCACUUACCUGAUACCAGAUGGAGAUUGUGAAUACAACAAUGAAGAGAAUCAAUACUGGCCAUGCCACUUGACUCAUGAGAAUAAUGAUGCACAGAAGCUGAAUAAGUGCAAAAACCAAUCCCGCCACUCUGUAUGGAAUAUCUGUGUCAACAGUACUCUGGUCUGUUGAAGACUGAAAAAGGGAGCAAUAAUAGGAGAAACAUUAGGUACUGACCCUGUUAAGAAUUCGGCUGGCAACCCAGUAGUUGCUGCCCAUCUGUAGACCCUGGAAGAGAACUUGACAGAACAGUAGUACUGGAAUAAAAGCCCCUUUAUAUGCUGAAGUCACAAAGCUAUUUGCUGAACAAGGUCUCCAUUGCUGUCCAUCAUCAGAUCUUCGUACUUACCAGAUUGAACCACCUUCCCAUCUUUCAAGACCUGAAAAAUGUUGGUGAAGGAAAUAAAUUUUAGUCUUCAUUAUCAGUGUGGGUGUUCUCGACAUGGAAUCAGCUUCCCAGGUGUACUCCCCCGGCUCGAUCUCUACUCCGAUGUCUGAGGUCUCGGAUUGGUUGCUUGGCUUCAACCGCUUCUGUUCUUCUUCUUUAAUGAAGUCCUGGAUUCUGUCGAUCGAGACUUUGGUCUGUGCGAUCAUGUUGACCAGCUCUGGGAGAUUGUAGAUUGGUUCUUGCAGGAUUCUGAACGUGGCCAGAGCUGAGAGCACCGUGCCGGCGGUCAGGGGUGCCCUCACGAGUAUGCAGACACCAAAGGCGACGACUGAAACCAAAGUGGGAGACGCCCAGAAGAGGAAGGCAAUGGCGGAGCAUGUGUAGAGGUAUCUCCUGAGCCAACUCCUCUCCACAUUUCUAUGCUCGAGCAACUUGUUCAAAUUCGCCAGCGGCGUGUUGCACACCAUCACCAGGAUCGUCACGGCGAGCGCCGAGAACGAGGCUGCCGCACCGAGGUUUCUGUAAAGGAUGAGCAGAGCCAGGGUGACCUGCAAGGGGAGCAACCAAACGCCAUGGAUG
This is a long non-coding RNA of Musa acuminata AAA Group (dessert banana), 1616 nucleotides long. RefSeq lists it as uncharacterized. The record is from RefSeq and is a predicted model, not a curated record. Lineage: Eukaryota; Viridiplantae; Streptophyta; Magnoliopsida; Zingiberales; Musaceae. The transcript is spliced from 9 exons.